CAGGUUUCUCGAUAAACGAAUAUUAAACUAUUUGUUCGUUGUCGUCGAAACCUGAA
RNAcentral lists this microRNA precursor (56 nucleotides) under Limulus polyphemus (Atlantic horseshoe crab). RNAcentral describes it as "Lpo-Mir-76-P6_pre stem-loop". Lineage: Eukaryota; Metazoa; Arthropoda; Merostomata; Xiphosura; Limulidae. The record is from RNAcentral.